CAGCAGUGGGUGUGUGCUUUUCAUUUUUAGGCACUUCAUCUGUGCACAUCCCUAUUUGGAGUGCUUCUAACAGCAUGCCUACCCGGGGUCCCAGUUCAUGCAUGAAAUGUCAGGGUCUUGAAAUUAUGCUCCAUGAUCCCACAUAAGUAUUAAAGGUCUGACUUGAACAAAAGUGUGGUGUAAUUCAGGGCUUAAGUUGACCACCAAACCUCUAUUACUAGUGAUGAUGCUCAAGAUGGAAAGACUCAAAUCUGAAUAUUAGAACCCAGGAUGAACUUGUAGGCCUGGCAGUUAGACAACAUUAAGU
Long non-coding RNA from Gavialis gangeticus (Gharial), 307 nucleotides. RefSeq lists it as uncharacterized. Lineage: Eukaryota; Metazoa; Chordata; Crocodylia; Gavialidae. The record is from RefSeq and is a predicted model, not a curated record. The transcript is spliced from 3 exons.